UAGGGAAUAUUGCACAAUGGGCGAAAGCCUGAUGCAGCAACGCCGCGUGCACGAAGAAGGCCUUCGGUUGUAAAGUGCUUUCUGUAGGAAGAGGAAGGACGGUACUGCAGGAAUAAGGAUCGGCUAACUACGUGCCAGCAGCCGCGGUAACACGUAGGAUCCGAGCGUUAUCCGAAUUCACUGGGCGUAAAGCGCUUGCAGGCGGCGAGGUAAGUUGGAUGUGAAAGCUCCCGGCUCAACUGGGAGAGUGCGUUCAAGACUGCCUGGCUAGAGUACGAAAGAGGGAGGUGGAAUUCCAGGUGUAGUGGUGAAAUGCGUAGAUAUCUGGAGGAACACCAGAGGCGAAGGCGGCCUCCUGGUUCGAAACUGACGCUAAGAAGCGAAAGCUAGGGGAGCGAACGGGAUUAGAAACCCCGGUAGUCCUAGCUGUAAACGAUGUAGACUGGGUGUUGGUGGUGUAAGAGCCAUCAGUACCGAAGCAAACGCGGUAAGUCUACCG
This 499-nucleotide ribosomal RNA is filed under the name uncultured Chloroflexota bacterium. Its description in RNAcentral is "bacterial SSU rRNA". It matches the Rfam family "Bacterial small subunit ribosomal RNA", at positions 355 to 871 of the family's 1533-position model. The record is from RNAcentral. Lineage: Bacteria; Bacillati; Chloroflexota.